Molecule: ribosomal RNA, 497 nt
Filed under: uncultured bacterium
Lineage: Bacteria
Description: partial 16S ribosomal RNA
Rfam family: Bacterial small subunit ribosomal RNA
Source: RNAcentral
GAUGAACGCUGGCGGCGUGCCUAAUACAUGCAAGUCGAGCGAACGGACGAGAAGCUUGCUUCUCUGAUGUUAGCGGCGGCCGGGUGAGUAACACGUGGAUAACCUACCUAUAAGACUGGGAUAACUUCGGGAAACCGUAGCUAAUACCGGUUAAUAUUUUGAACCGCAUGGUUCAAAAGUGAAAGACGGUCUUGCUGUCACUUAUAGAUGGAUCCGCGCUGCAUUAGCUAGUUGGUAAGGUAACGGCUUACCAAGGCAACGAUGCAUAGCCGACCGGAGAGGGUGAUGGGCCACACUGGAACUGAGACACGGUCCAGACUCCUACGGGAGGCAGCAGUAGGGAAUCUUCCGCAAUGGGCGAAAGCCUGACGGAGCAACGCCGCGUGAGUGAUGAAGGUCUUCGGAUCGUAAAACUCUGUUAUUAGGGAAGAACAUAUGUGUAAGUAACUGUGCACAUCUUGACGGUACCUAAUCAGAAAGCCACGGCUAACUACGUG